CCCUUAGAUGUCCGGGGCUGCACGCGCGCUACACUGAAGGAAUCAGCGUGCUAAAACCAUUGCCGAAAGGCAUUGGUAAACCCAUUAAAAUCCUACGUGAUUGGGAUCGGGAAUUGCAAUUAUUUCCCUUGAACGAGGAAUUCCCAGUAAGUGUGGGUCAUAAGCUCGCGUUGAUUACGUCCCUGCCCUUUGUACACACCGCCCGUCGCUGCCCGGGACUGAGCCGUUUCGAGAAAAGCGGGGACUGCUGCUGUCGGGGCUUUCGGGCCUUGGCUUCGGUGGAAACCGCUUUAAUCGCAGUGGCUUGAACCGGGCAAAAGUCGUANCA
Molecule: ribosomal RNA, 328 nt
Filed under: uncultured eukaryote
Lineage: Eukaryota
Description: partial 18S ribosomal RNA
Rfam family: Eukaryotic small subunit ribosomal RNA
Source: RNAcentral